This 256-nucleotide ribosomal RNA is filed under the name uncultured bacterium. RNAcentral's name for it is "partial 16S ribosomal RNA". It matches the Rfam family "Bacterial small subunit ribosomal RNA", at positions 98 to 354 of the family's 1533-position model. The record is from RNAcentral.
CGGGACGGGUGAGUAACACGUGAGCAACCUGCCUUUCAGUGGGGGACAACAGUUGGAAACGACUGCUAAUACCGCAUAACGUGCCGGAAGGGCAUCCUUUUGGUACCAAAGAUUUAUCGCUGAAAGAUGGGCUCGCGUCUGAUUAGAUAGUUGGUGAGGUAACGGCCCACCAAGUCGACGAUCAGUAGCCGGGCUGAGAGGUUGAUCGGCCACAUUGGGACUGAGACACGGCCCAGACUCCUACGGAAGGCAGCAG